This 1864-nucleotide long non-coding RNA is filed under the name Homo sapiens (human). RNAcentral's name for it is "non-protein coding lnc-GOLGA8O-5:6". The record is from RNAcentral. Lineage: Eukaryota; Metazoa; Chordata; Mammalia; Primates; Hominidae.
CUCUUAUGAAGAAACCGUUCUUACGGAAGCCCAGAUGAGACAACUUGAGACAGGAUUCAGAAACGCUGAUUUUAGUAACCUUAACCCUCGGCCCUUGGUGGGAACUUCGGCUCUGUGGGAAUUAGUCUUUGGGGGACUGAUGGUCAUGCUGAAAUCUUAUUGCGUAGGAAAUUAAGUACAACAAAGAAGACCCGUCGUGAGAGGAGAGUGCGGAAGAAAUGCGAAGUCUACGGGAGGUGGCAGCUGCAGAAGCUUGGUGUUGGAUUUGGCGUUAGGAGACCGGGAGGAGCCCAGCUUCCGGUCCAGACGGUUAUCUUGUUGACUUGCACGACUGCAAACGCCCUGAGCUGCUUUUGCAGUCUGAAACAUCAGCGAUCCCAUCAAAAUAUUCUGUUUCUUGGGAUAUAAGAAACAUCCCAAGGCGGGCUGUAGAGCGAGAGAUUUGGACUCGAUUUAAAUACAGACAAAAUAGUAUGCAUUUACUAACACCACAUCUCACCCCCACGAAACUUGGUAAGGGCAGCAACAGAACUUUAUCUGCCAUAUGCACUCCUGUAUUCCUAUUACCAAAUAGUGCCAGGGACUAAGUGAAUAUUUGUCCAAUGAAUGAGUUUUAAGUAGGAAACGUUUGCAUAGAAUCAUUUUGUUUCUUUUGGAGUUCAAAUCUUCGGAUAUUUUACCCUUCCCAAUCCAAAGAAAAGUCUCUGAGUGAAGAGAUGGGAACAAAAUGUAAGUUAAAUAUGUUGCUUUAACAACUGUUUAUUGAACUCGUGCUAUAGACUAUAGAAUGAUGAGCAAAACCAGGCACAGUUUCGGCCCUGGAAGAGGAAAGGCAGGCAUAUAUUUAUCAAGUAAGUACAUUAAUGGCGGCACUUAUCAGUUGAGAGAAGUGCGCUAAGGAAAGGAAUAUGAUUCUAUGAUAGCGUAUAAUAAAAGAUCCUUGACCGGGGAGGGGAAACGUACCAGUGAUUAACUGAUCUGAAGAAUCAGUAUAAAUUGACUUUGUAGAAAGUAUAGGUGGAUGGCUGAGUGGGACCAUCAUUCAGGAAGCAAAUGCCUGCAGAAAAAAACAUCAAUUUUAACAAGAAACGGUGUAUCAGAGAUGAAACUGAACCUAUUCCUUGUCUUUUCUUCUUGCUUCAGACAUAACUUUAAAAAAUUGCUUACGCUGUCUUUAGCCACAUCUCUUCCCCAAACUCCACACUGUUCGGCGUUUUAGCCGUCUCAAAUUUCCUUUUCUUAAAGACCCAUGACAAUCUUCAGUGUUGUGUCUUUUUCUACGUCGUGAUCCUUUUUUAAAGCUGAGCUCUUCUUGUUUUUCGUCUCCUUUCUCUUUUUUUUUUUUUUUUUUUGUGAUGGAGUCUCGCUCUGUCGCCCAGGCUGGAGUGCAGUUGCACAAUUUCGGCUCACUGCAAACUCCACCUCCCACGUUCAAGCAAUUCUCUGCCUCAGCCUCCCAAGCAGCUGGGAUUACAGGCGUCUGCCAGCAGGCCCGGCUAAUUUUUGUAUGUUUAGUAGAGACGGUGUUUCACCAUUUUGGCCAGGCUGGUCCUGAACUCCUGACCUCGUGAUCCACCCGCCUCGGCCUCCCAAAGUGCUGGGAUUACAGGUGUGAGCCACCACAUCCGGCCCUUCCUUUCUCUUAAGAUGAAAAUAUUGGUUCUUUUUUCCUACACACAAGGAGGCAAUGAAAAUAUUGGUUCUUUUCAUUGCCUUAUUAUUAAUGUUACUAUUAAUAAAUAUUAAUAUUAACAUAAUGGUUAUUUGCUUCAUCUACCUAUAUUCACAGGUAUAUAAACACAACAAUAGCAAUAACAGGAUAAAGAAUAAAAACAGAAUAACAAUAGAGAUAUUGCUAACAGAU